Molecule: ribosomal RNA, 253 nt
Filed under: uncultured bacterium
Lineage: Bacteria
Description: partial 16S ribosomal RNA
Rfam family: Bacterial small subunit ribosomal RNA
Source: RNAcentral
UACGGGGGGGGCAAGCGUUGUUCGGAAUUACUGGGCGUAAAGGGCUCGUAGGCGGCCAACUAAGUCAGACGUGAAAUCCCCAGGCUCAACCUGGGAACUGCGUCUGAUACUGGUUGGCUUGAAUCCGGGAGAGGGAUGCGGAAUUCCAGGUGUAGCGGUGAAAUGCGUAGAUAUCGUCAAGAACACCUAUUGCGUAGGCAGCUAACUAAGCUUUAACUGACGCUGAGGCACGAAAGUGUGGGGAUCAAACAGG